This 222-nucleotide non-coding RNA is filed under the name Monodelphis domestica (gray short-tailed opossum). RNAcentral describes it as "Eukaryotic large subunit ribosomal RNA". It matches the Rfam family "Eukaryotic large subunit ribosomal RNA", at positions 2780 to 2992 of the family's 3401-position model. The record is from Rfam by way of RNAcentral. Lineage: Eukaryota; Metazoa; Chordata; Mammalia; Didelphimorphia; Didelphidae.
AACUAGAUGUGGUUGAUCUCUCUGUUCAGAGGUGAUCCAAGGAGUUACCUCAGGAAUAUGUGGCUUGUGGAGAAUGAGCAUUCACGGCUAUAUCAUGUUUUGAUUCUUCACUGUUGGCUUUUCCUCUCAUUGCAAAAGAGAAUGCACCAGUUAUUGGAGUAUUCACCUGGUGAUAAGGAAUGUGAGGUUGGCUUAGACUACUAUGAAGAAGGUGAGCUUUAC